CGGGAUGUAGCGCAGUUUGGUAGCGCACUUCGUUCGGGACGAAGGGGCCGCAGGUUCGAAUCCUGUCAUCCCGA
RNAcentral lists this transfer RNA (74 nucleotides) under Synechococcus sp. RNAcentral describes it as "tRNA-Pro". It matches the Rfam family "tRNA". From Rfam's summary of the family: Transfer RNA (tRNA) molecules are approximately 80 nucleotides in length. Their secondary structure includes four short double-helical elements and three loops (D, anti-codon, and T loops). Lineage: Bacteria; Bacillati; Cyanobacteriota; Cyanophyceae; Synechococcales; Synechococcaceae. RNAcentral also lists the same sequence under 8 other names. The record is from RNAcentral.